UUUGUGCGUAUUGGUAACACUUUUUUUUUCCGUGAAAUGAGUACGCGCCAUGGCAACAACUUGAGUGUGAAGGGCAUUUGGGUGUUUGUUGGACUAUUGUCGUAAUGAUAUAAUUUUUAAACGGUCCAGAGAUAUUCACUUUUUUUGUAGGUUAUCUUCAGGGCCACCGCCUUAAUCCGUCUUUGGUCACUCCUCCUCCCUAUGGACAAACGGGAGCUUCGGGCUUCUGAGUGCACACGCUUGGAGACGGUCGCUUGGGAUAUCUCUAACCCGGCUGGCUGACGGCCUGUUGCUAGAUUGCAAGAUGUAUAGAAAUUUUCUUCAGGAUCUUUACUUUAUUUGGCUUCUUUUUGUAUCAACUUUGUGCGAUCCAUGAUUUGUGUAUUGAGAUGAUACAAUUUUGCAAUAAAUUGGAUGUGUGCAUCGUUUUGAUGCAAAGGCUAGGGAGAACCCC
RNAcentral lists this long non-coding RNA (454 nucleotides) under Brachypodium distachyon (stiff brome). RNAcentral's name for it is "long non-coding RNA (BDIS_LNC002677)". Lineage: Eukaryota; Viridiplantae; Streptophyta; Magnoliopsida; Poales; Poaceae. The record is from RNAcentral.